UGGGGAAUUUUGGACAAUGGGGGAAACCCUGAUCCAGCCAUCCCGCGUGUGCGAUGAAGGCCUUCGGGUUGUAAAGCACUUUUGGCAGGAAAGAAACGUCAUGGGUUAAUACCCCGUGAAACUGACGGUACCUGCAGAAUAAGCACCGGCUAACUACGUGCCAGCAGCCGCGGUAAUACGUAGGGUGCAAGCGUUAAUCGGAAUUACUGGGCGUAAAGCGUGCGCAGGCGGUUCGGAAAGAAAGAUGUGAAAUCCCAGAGCUCAACUUUGGAACUGCAUUUUUAACUUCAGCGCUAGAGUGUGUCAGAGGGAGGUGGAAUUCCGCGUGUAGCAGUGAAAUACGUAGAUAUGCGGAGGAACACCGAUGGCGAAGGCAGCCUCCUGGGAUAACACUGACGCUCAUGCACGAAAGCGUGGGGAGCAAACAGG
This 429-nucleotide ribosomal RNA is filed under the name Acidobacteriota bacterium. RNAcentral's name for it is "Acidobacteria bacterium partial 16S ribosomal RNA". It matches the Rfam family "Bacterial small subunit ribosomal RNA", at positions 355 to 776 of the family's 1533-position model. The record is from RNAcentral. Lineage: Bacteria; Pseudomonadati; Acidobacteriota.